UACGUAGGGUGCGAGCGUUGUCCGGAAUUAUUGGGCGUAAAGGGCUCGUAGGCGGUCUGUUGCGUCGGUAGUGAAAACUCAGGGCUUAACCCUGAGCCUGCUUCCGAUACGGGCAGACUAGAGGUAUGCAGGGGAGAACGGAAUUCCUGGUGUAGCGGUGAAAUGCGCAGAUAUCAGGAGGAACACCGGUGGCGAAGGCGGUUCUCUGGGCAUUACCUGACGCUGAGGAGCGAAAGCGUGGGUAGCAAACAGG
RNAcentral lists this ribosomal RNA (253 nucleotides) under uncultured bacterium. RNAcentral's name for it is "partial 16S ribosomal RNA". It matches the Rfam family "Bacterial small subunit ribosomal RNA", at positions 524 to 776 of the family's 1533-position model. The record is from RNAcentral.